Biomphalaria pfeifferi is the source of this 1317-nucleotide non-coding RNA. NCBI's taxonomy places the organism in Eukaryota, Metazoa, Mollusca, Gastropoda, Planorbidae. The record is from the annotation of a GenBank genome assembly.
AGCUCAUCAUUUCGUUUAUUUCACCGUCACAGUUUAUACCCAGCAUGGCUUCAGUUCAUCUCCCACUAAAACACUACAAUUGCCAACACAGAAAGGAAACAGUGUAGAGGAAUGCAAUCAACAAAGAGAGAGAAAAAAAGGUGAAGAGAUCGUUGUUGACUAUAGAUCUAAAUGAUGUCUAGUAACAGAGUAUCCAACAAUACAAUGCUCUAACUCAUACAAUGCAUUGAACACAUAACAAACUAACUAAAAUACUGUUUGAAGCAGCUGCCAACUCAAAGUUUAAAAAAAAAAGAAAGCAUAUCAUGGUAUCGUUACUCUCUUCAUGUCACUUCUAGAAAGAGAUCUAGACAUCACUGACACUACAUAUCACAACGUUAAAAAAAAUAAAGUGCUAAAAUAACAGACAGAGACAGUGCAACAGAAACAUGAACAGUUUCAACUGGACAUUUGGAUUAGCAACAGUAACAAAAGGGUGUCAGUAGCAUUACCAUGACAAACAAACAUCACAUUUACCCUUAUCUUGUAAAUAAAGUAGACUUUUUAAUAGGUCUAAAAGUAGAUCAAUUUCAAAUUGCAACUAGAGUCUAAGUAGCCUACCACAAACAUGUCAACUCAAGUUUCUAAUGACAGCAGUCCACUGAAACAUACACAUAAAAUAUAUUUUUAAAAGUCCUAUGUGGCAACUUAUCAUAUUGGCUUGUAAUGAACUUAAGCCUUAUAACCGGACUUUUCUUUAAACAUCACAUAGUGUCAAGAUUGUCAGUUUCUGUUUUAAAUAAUAAACCUUGAUUUAGACAGAUAAUGACAUUUAUUAAAGGCAUGUAACCUUACAAACCCUGUACAGUCUCAGAGAGCAGAUUAUACUUUUCUCAACAUAACAACAAUCCAAAUUUAAAUAAGAAAGAGAUUGUUAGGUUAGGAUAAAAGCUAAGUUACCAAUCUACAGGUCCGAAUGUAUUGCCAAGAUUUGAGUGAAUUACCGGUGACAAUUACAAGGCAUUUGUCACCCUUAAUGUCAAUAGAUUUAAUAGAAGGAUGUAACUCUUGGUGCUAUAAAAAAGUUUGAAAGAGAUAAAAAGUUUACAAAUAGAGAAAACUGAAUGUACAAUGCAGUAUAAGAAUAUCUGUCAUUGUGGAUUGCUUAUCAUUUUUUCAUUAUCAUUGACUAACAACAUUAAACCCGUAUAAGCUUUCUAUUGAAGUAAGGGAGACUUCCAUUAAUCCAAUGAUCAAUAUAUGCAGAGCUGGUAACUAGUUUAAGUGUUUACAAUUGUACACAUUUUAUAUUCAUGUUUAAGAAGAGAAAAAAAACAA